GCAUGUAUAAUAUUUUGGUUUGAGGCUUUCAGUUUCUGCUUUAAGAGAUGGCUCGAACUAGUCUUUCUUCUAUAUCAAUACCUUUUCUUAUUUUGCUGAUAUUUGCCUUUACUUUCUUUGCACAGCUUGCUCCAGUUAGUGCAGAUCCGAGAAUGAGAAAAUUGGGUCCCGGGCCAAGUCCACCUCCUCCACCAGGGCGUAACCAUGGACUUUCACCUUUUUUUCCAAAUGCUCCUCCUCCUCCACUCAUUUAAACUAAUUUCUAACGGUCAGGCGAUUGAUGUUCUUCAGAGUCAAAUAAAAAAGUUGUUGCAUUAUUCCGUGAUGGACUAUUUGCAAAUAAAAAAGUUGUUGCGCGAUGAGUUGAUAUUGCGAGUGUUAGUGUAUGCUGGGCCAUGAAGAAGGGUGGGACAUUUUUGUCCAUUGAGCUUUCUAUGGGAUGUGCAGGAAGCAAAAUAAAGAGGUGCAGGAAGCAAUUACCAAUAAUUGAUUGAGAUUUUGUAUACAGAAGCCACAUUUGUAAUAACCCAAAUUAUUCACUCCUCUAUGACUCACUAGAGCUUUGAGAGCGUUUUUUUUUUUUA
Long non-coding RNA from Glycine soja, 584 nucleotides. RefSeq lists it as uncharacterized. The record is from RefSeq and is a predicted model, not a curated record. The transcript is spliced from 3 exons. NCBI's taxonomy places the organism in Eukaryota, Viridiplantae, Streptophyta, Magnoliopsida, Fabales, Fabaceae.